UGAGACUAAUAAUUCAUAAAUAAAUACAGCUUAUUUGGCUCAUAACUAUAAUGGCAUGGGGUUCAGGGUUGGCCAUCUGGGUCUGUGAGAGCCUUGGGGAGCUUCCUCGCAGGAUAGGAGGUGAAGGGGAGCUAUGUGUCAGAGAUCACAUAGCAAAGGAGGAGGAGAGACUGGAGGUGUAUGGCUCUUUUUAACAACCAGCUCUUGCAUAUCUAAUAGUAAGAACUUACCCCCAAGGAAGGACAUUAACCCACUAAUGAGGAAUCUGCCCCAUGAUCCAAACAAUUCCCACCUCCAACACUGGAGAUCCAAUUUCAGCAAAAGGUUUGGAGAGUCAAACAUUCAAACUACAACAGGAUCCCAGUAGAGAGGGUUCACACACAGUUUGGCAGGCUGAGGUGACCUCAGAGGAAAUAGCACGGAAGAUGCAUCUUGACAGAUGGGGAGGAUCACUAUGAACACUGAGAUGAACAGAACUGUCUGGGCUCUUGGCAGGUGGAGAUGCAUGAGACCCUGGUUCAAAGGUUGGAGCUGUCAUCCUCAACUGUACAGUGGAUCAUCUGGGAGCUGUUAAAAUGCUAAGGCCAGGACCCACCAGCAGCUACCAAGCCCAGUUGGUCCCCUGCUUCCUGCAGACCUUGUCUCACUCUGGACUCUCCCACACAUGGGGUGGAGCUGCCAGGUGCUGGUGAGGGCAAGUACCCAGCAUCAGCCACUGAAACUCCCUGAGGACUCUCAAACAUCCUACUCCCUGACAUAGAGUGCCCUUGACACCAUCUCUGGGUAUGGACUCUUCCUCAUUGCCUUCUGAGGGUCCUCUUGCAUUCAGAUUU
Molecule: long non-coding RNA, 833 nt
Organism: Otolemur garnettii (small-eared galago)
Lineage: Eukaryota; Metazoa; Chordata; Mammalia; Primates; Galagidae
Exons: 4
Source: RefSeq, a predicted model, not a curated record